Molecule: small nuclear RNA, 21 nt
Filed under: Arabidopsis thaliana (thale cress)
Lineage: Eukaryota; Viridiplantae; Streptophyta; Magnoliopsida; Brassicales; Brassicaceae
Description: snRNA_09929
Source: RNAcentral
CCUGAGCGGGGUAAAGCCAGA